This 1582-nucleotide long non-coding RNA is filed under the name Nicotiana tabacum (common tobacco). RNAcentral describes it as "long non-coding RNA (NTAB_LNC018904)". Lineage: Eukaryota; Viridiplantae; Streptophyta; Magnoliopsida; Solanales; Solanaceae. The record is from RNAcentral.
AAACUCAAUUAAGCACACAUAUAGUAUAGUUUAGCAUUAAAGCACCUAAAUGUAUAGUAAGUAAUGCACUAAAAAUAUAUAAUUAUAGCCAAACAUCAAGAGCAUACACUCAUCUGAAAAUACUUGUACUUAUUUCUCAAAGGAGGGAUAUCGUUGACGAUUUGCAAUUCAAGUGUGCCUCUCUGCUUUCUAAGUGACAUGAACCAGAUGCAUGUAGAAGUUGGCAAUGACGAGGUAAUAUCCUUUACCAUCUACAAAUAUGGUCUUGUAUGCAAUGAAUUCAUUGAUUUUCUUGAUUAUUCAUUCCUAUAGGAUCAAUUGAAGAUGGGAGUUGUGGUUUGGGAUGCAUAGAUAAAAGUGUGGAGGCGAAAUGGUUCAAUACUUAUCCAAAUAUCAAAUCACGUAUAGUCUUAAGAAGAUAUUAUGGUAUUGCCCUUUACCAUAAAUCGCUGUUGCAAAUUUCUGAAACUCAAUUCAUUGAUACCCUCGGAAGUUACCUACCCUCGAAAGUGGAUCCGGCCCUAUUUUUGAUGGUUCACAUAUUAAUUAUUUUCAAUUUAGGUGAUGCCCGAAUUCCAUCAAUUCCUUCAAGGAUUGGCUUUCAGGAACACUGCCUGCAUCUUCAAUUCAUUGAGUAGGACUGUAGGAGUAAAGGAAAGUAUAGACCUUACAAAGAGCAUUUCAGUUCAAGCUUGCUGAGUCAUCCUAGGGCCUUGAUUGAAAAACACCAAAAACCUUGUUUUCACUUUCAUUACAUUCAAACAACCAAAUAUUCUUUGCAAAAACUAUAACCAAACACAACUCCAACUUCAUUUUUAUCAACGGUUGUGUUACAAAAAUGGUCGUUACUUAGCUUCCACCCUUUCAUAUUCAGCAUUUAGGAACAACAAUGAAUGCUAAAGAUUCACAUCCUACAUUUAUAAGGUCCUUCAACGUUUUUAACAUCAAUAUCCCAUAUUCUGGUGGCUAGCGCUGAUGAUAUUGUUAGCUUGAUGAAAAAUGUGCUAUGCAUUGCCAUACAUCUUUAUUCUAAAAAAGAAAGAAAGAAAGAAUAAAAUAAUAAUACUGUUGUAUUUUCUUUAAGUGGGAACUGGCUGCUUAAUUCUUUUUUUCAUACCGUAUAUGACUAAUAGUACGAAGCCAAUAAUAUAUGAGGUUAUUUUUAAGAACUAAGUUAUACUGUUGUUUUUCAGGUGGGGAUGUAUUUUUCUUUAUACGGUAUAUGGGGAUUUUAUGAAGCCAAUAAUCUAGGUUACUUUUGUUUACGUUUUUUUUUAAUUUAAUCGUUCGGUAUCCGAAACUCAAAUGCUGAUUAUGUAUUAUUAUAAGGGAAGAAGGAAGCUACACUGAAAUAUAAUUUUCCUACGAUGGAAAGAGUACGCGAGAGGUUAUUUUCUACUUCUUAAACUUCUAAUGAUUGUGGUCGGUUCACUUCAAGCCUCCAGCAAUAUUGUAGUUCUUUUUGUGUUUGAUAUAAUUGGGUAUAUGGAUUAGGUUUUACUUCUUUUUUUUUCUUUCAUUAUGUGCUGUCGUCCUUUUUACUUGUAUGGAAAAGAUCGUCCUUUUUACUUGUAUGGAAAAG